Long non-coding RNA from Erinaceus europaeus (western European hedgehog), 333 nucleotides. RefSeq lists it as uncharacterized. Lineage: Eukaryota; Metazoa; Chordata; Mammalia; Eulipotyphla; Erinaceidae. The transcript has 2 exons. The record is from RefSeq and is a predicted model, not a curated record.
UGGAAAUCACAGUCUCCAAAAUUCAAGGCCAUCAAUCGCAGUGACAAGAACAAUGAACCCCACAGGCAGAAGUUGAAGAACAAGACCAGAAGAGAAAACACUAAGCAGAACCUGGACUGGAGUUGGUGUAUUGCACCAAAGUAAAAGACUCUGGGGUUAGGUGAGGGGUGGGAGGAGAGUACAGGUCCUGGAACAUGAUAGCAGAGGACCUAGUGGGGGUUGUAUUGUUAUGUGGAAAACUGGGAAAUGUUAUGUAUGCACAAACUAUUUACUUUUGACUGUAAACCAUUAAUCCCCCAAUAAAAUAAAAUAAAUACAUUUCUGUGCUUUAAA